RNAcentral lists this small RNA (573 nucleotides) under Pongo abelii (Sumatran orangutan). RNAcentral's name for it is "processed transcript". The record is from RNAcentral. Lineage: Eukaryota; Metazoa; Chordata; Mammalia; Primates; Hominidae.
GGUGGUCCUGGGGUCCAGCUCUGCAUCACUGAUGUACUACCUAUCCUGGCAAAGAUGCUUCAUGGCCACAAGGCAGAGCCCUUGCAUCUGUGCCACCGGCUGGACAAGGAAACCACAGGCGUAAUGGUGUUGGCUUGGGACAAGGACAUGGCACAUCAAGUCCAAGAGUUGUUUAGAACCCGUCAGGUGGUAAAGAAGUACUGACAGAGUCUUGCUCUGUCGCCCAGGCUGGAGUGCAGUGGCAUGAUCUCGGCUCACUGCAACCUGCACCUCCUGGAUUCAAGUGAUUCUCGUGCCUCAGCCUCCCAAGUAGCUGGGAUUACAGGCGCACGCCACCGUGCCUGGCUGAUUUUUUUUUUUUUUUUUGUAUUUUUAGUAGAGAUGGAGUUUCACCAUGUUGGCCAGGCUGGUCUCGAACUCCUGACCUCAAGUGAUCCACCCGCCUCAGCCUCCCAAAGUUUCGGGAUUACAUGUGUGAGCCACCACACCCGGCCCCUGUGACUUCUUUGGGGCCAUCACUGUGCGUGUCCCCAUGCCCUCAGCAGGAGUUGUGGACAUCCCCAUUGUGGAGAA